Molecule: ribosomal RNA, 483 nt
Filed under: uncultured bacterium
Lineage: Bacteria
Description: bacterial SSU rRNA
Rfam family: Bacterial small subunit ribosomal RNA
Source: RNAcentral
AACUAACGCUGGCGGCGUGCCUAACACAUGCAAGUCGUACGAGAAAGCCGGCUUCGGCUGGUGAGUAAAGUGGCGCACGGGUGAGUAACGCGUGGAUAAUCUGCCCUUAAAUGUGGAAUAACGUACCGAAAGGUGCGCUAAUACCGCAUAAUGCCUGGCAACACAAGUUGUCCGGCCAAAGAAGGCCUCUGUUUACAAGCUUUCGCUUCAGGAUGAGUCCGCGUACCAUUAGCUUGUUGGUGGGGUAAUGGCCUACCAAGGCUGCGAUGGUUAGCUGGUCUGAGAGGAUGAUCAGCCACACUGGAACUGAGACACGGUCCAGACUCCUACGGGAGGCAGCAGUGAGGAAUAUUGCGCAAUGGGGGCAACCCUGACGCAGCAACGCCGCGUGAGUGAGGAAGGUUUUCGGACUGUAAAGCUCUGUCGAGCGGGAAGAAGUGUACCAUGGCUAAUAUCCAUGAUAUUUGACGGUACCGCUAGAGG